Molecule: ribosomal RNA, 505 nt
Filed under: Ophiolycus purpureus
Lineage: Eukaryota; Metazoa; Echinodermata; Ophiuroidea; Amphilepidida; Ophiomyxidae
Description: partial large subunit ribosomal RNA
Rfam family: Bacterial large subunit ribosomal RNA
Source: RNAcentral
AAAAACAUCGCCUGGGGAAAUAAUCUUAGGUCGUGCCUGCCCGGUGACUAAAUUAAACGGCUGCAGUACUCUGACUGUGCAAAGGUAGCAUAAUCAUUUGCCUAUUAAUUGUAGGCUGGAAUCAACGGCUUGACGAAGAAUUAACUGUCUCUUUCUUCUUAAUUUGAAUUUGGAAUUAUAGUGAAGAUACUAUAAUAAAAUUGUUAGACGAGAAGACCCUAUAGAGCUUGAAGUGUUCUUUAUAAGUUAAUUAAAGUUUAUUUUUGGUUGGGGCAACUUUUAUUAAAUAAAACAGUAAAAAAAAUAAAAUAAAUUGAUUUAUAUAAUUGACCUUGAAGUUUCGAGAAGUAAGAAAAAGUUACCUUAGGGAUAACAGCGUAAUUUUCUUUGAGAGUUCAUAUUGACAAGGAAGUUUGCGACCUCGAUGUUGGAUCAAGAUAUCCUGGAGGUGCAGCCGCAUCCAAGGGUUGGUUUGUUCAACCAUUAAAAUCUUACGUGAUCUGAG